This 240-nucleotide unclassified non-coding RNA is filed under the name soil metagenome. RNAcentral's name for it is "partial contains 5.8S ribosomal RNA, internal transcribed spacer 2, and large subunit ribosomal RNA". The record is from RNAcentral.
AACACUGUUAACCUGCGGUACCUGCGGAAGGAUCAUUACCGAGUGCGGGUCCUUUGGGCCCAACCUCCCAUCCGUGUCUAUUGUACCCUGUUGCUUCGGCGGGCCCGCCGCUUGUCGGCCGCCGGGGGGGCGCCUCUGCCCCCCGGGCCCGUGCCCGCCGGAGACCCCAACACGAACACUGUCUGAAAGCGUGCAGUCUGAGUUGAUUGAAUGCAAUCAGUUAAAACUUUCAACAAUGGA